UGGGGAAUAUUGGACAAUGGGGGGAACCCUGAUCCAGCCAUGCCGCGUGUGUGAAGAAGGCCUUAUGGUUGUAAAGCACUUUAAGCGAGGAGGAGGGUACUGGUAUUAAUACUACCAGGUACUGGACGUUACUCGCAGAAUAAGCACCGGCUAACUCUGUGCCAGCAGCCGCGGUUAUACAGAGGGUGCGAGCGUUAAUCGGAUUUACUGGGCGUAAAGCGUGCGUAGGCGGCUAAUUGAGUCGGAUGUGAAAUCCCCGAGCUUAACUUGGGAAUUGCAUUCGAUACUGGUUAGCUAGAGUGUGGGAGAAGAUGGUAGAAUUCCAGGUGUAGCGGUGAAAUGCGUAGAUAUCUGGAGGAAUACCGAUGGCGAAGGCAGCCAUCUGGCCUAACACUGACGCUGAGGUACGAAAGCAUGGGGAGCAAACAGG
This 430-nucleotide ribosomal RNA is filed under the name Pseudomonadota bacterium. RNAcentral describes it as "Proteobacteria bacterium partial 16S ribosomal RNA". It matches the Rfam family "Bacterial small subunit ribosomal RNA", at positions 355 to 776 of the family's 1533-position model. The record is from RNAcentral. Lineage: Bacteria; Pseudomonadati; Pseudomonadota.